Non-coding RNA from Zootermopsis nevadensis, 596 nucleotides. Lineage: Eukaryota; Metazoa; Arthropoda; Insecta; Blattodea; Termopsidae. The record is from RefSeq and is a predicted model, not a curated record.
GUUACAGGUAAUAUGGUGGGCAAAGCAGAGGUGUGACAGAAAGGGACGGCAAAGGCAAGGUAGUGAGAAGUGUGGCAAGAAGUCAACGACAGCGCGAAUGAGUGAUAGCGGAGAACAAGGCAACUAUCAGACAUCGAGGUAUAGGCUGUUUGCUAGGACAUGAGCUAUGGCCUUGAGAUGUGCAGUGCAUUUCCACCCCGAACAGUGGGUGGGGUGAACUCAGAGCUCAGUUGCAAGGCAGAAGCGACCGAGUUCACUUCGUGUGGUAAAUUCCAUUUCAAAAACAUUGACCCAUUUUUAAUAGGCAUUUCAUAUUCAUCGCUGUUUCUACUCAGCACGAACAGAAUGCAAAGCGUGGGCAGAGGUGUAAAGAAAAUAGGGGGACGUAAAGUAAUACACAGCCAAAGUAGAGAAAUGGUGAUAAGUGUUUACAGUUUUAUGAAGAAAGAAGCGGACAGCGGCAAUGUGAUUAACGUUAAUCAAAUACAAAAUCGUGUUUCUGAAGCUACUGGUGUGUCCAUAAGUACUCUGAAACGCAUUCUGAAAGAGUACGAACAUAAUAAACGAGUGGGAAAAGAAUUCAGCACACCUCACAA